ACCAAUCUUCUUCUUGCUUCUCAA
RNAcentral lists this non-coding RNA (24 nucleotides) under Arabidopsis thaliana (thale cress). The record is from RNAcentral. Lineage: Eukaryota; Viridiplantae; Streptophyta; Magnoliopsida; Brassicales; Brassicaceae.